CGUCAUAAGGGGUGUUGCCCCCCCUGAUAUAUUUUUUUAAUUUUUGGAAAAACCGUUUUUUACUAUUUUUAUGAGAUGUAGAAGCAAAAGAUACAUACAAUCCUAAAUUUUCAAUUUUUUAUCUCAGACCGUUAUUUUUUAAUAGCCAUUUAAAUAUUUUACAUCUAUAUAUAUAAAAGAAAGUCGAGGUUGUGUUAGUUACACCAUUUAUAGCUCGAGAACGACUGAACAGAUUUUUAUGAAAUUUUACAUGUAUAUUCUAGCGGUCUGGGAAUAGGAUAAUAUGGAGUUUCAUACCCGUACGUCAUAAGGGGUGUUGCCCCCCCUGAUAUAUUUUUUUAAUUUUUGGAAAAACCGUUUUUUACUAUUUUUAUGAGAUGUAGAAGCAAAAGAUACAUACAAUCCUAAAUUUUCAAUUUUUUAUCUCAGACCGUUAUUUUUUAAUAGCCAUUUAAAUAUUUUACAUCUAUAUAUAUAAAAGAAAGUCGAGGUUGUGUUAGUUACACCAUUUAUAGCUCGAGAACGACUGAACAGAUUUUUAUGAAAUUUUACAUGUAUAUUCUAGCGGUCUGGGAAUAGGAUAAUAUGGAGUUUCAUACCCGUACGUCAUAAGGGGUGUUGCCCCCCCUGAUAUAUUUUUUUAAUUUUUGGAAAAACCGUUUUUUACUAUUUUUAUGAGAUGUAGAAGCAAAAGAUACAUACAAUCCUAAAUUUUCAAUUUUUUAUCUCAGACCGUUAUUUUUUAAUAGCCAUUUAAAUAUUUUACAUCUAUAUAUAUAAAAGAAAGUCGAGGUUGUGUUAGUUACACCAUUUAUAGCUCGAGAACGACUGAACAGAUUUUUAUGAAAUUUUACAUGUAUAUUCUAGCGGUCUGGGAAUAGGAUAAUAUGGAGUUUCAUACCCGUACGUCAUAAGGGGUGUUGCCCCCCCUGAUAUAUUUUUUUAAUUUUUGGAAAAACCGUUUUUUACUAUUUUUAUGAGAUGUAGAAGCAAAAGAUACAUACAAUCCUAAAUUUUCAAUUUUUUAUCUCAGACCGUUAUUUUUUAAUAGCCAUUUAAAUAUUUUACAUCUAUAUAUAUAAAAGAAAGUCGAGGUUGUGUUAGUUACACCAUUUAUAGCUCGAGAACGACUGAACAGAUUUUUAUGAAAUUUUACAUGUAUAUUCUAGCGGUCUGGGAAUAGGAUAAUAUGGAGUUUCAUACCCGUACGUCAUAAGGGGUGUUGCCCCCCCUGAUAUAUUUUUUUAAUUUUUGGAAAAACCGUUUUUUACUAUUUUUAUGAGAUGUAGAAGCAAAAGAUACAUACAAUCCUAAAUUUUCAAUUUUUUAUCUCAGACCGUUAUUUUUUAAUAGCCAUUUAAAUAUUUUACAUCUAUAUAAAAAUUCGCCGGUCGCAGUGUUUGUUACCAUACUCCUCCGAAACGACUUAACCGAUUUUUAUGAAAUUUUGCAGGUAUAUUGGACUGUACUGGGAGUAGGUUGCUGUCUAUAUUUCAUACCCGUAUGUCAUUAGGGGGUUGCCCAUGACGCCGUAACUCUCACAAUAAUGACGUGAAAAAUAUGAAAUUAAGUAGGUAGACUCCUUGCUGAAUUCCGAGCAGAACCGUACUAAAAUUUUUUGUCUAGCACAAUCGGUGUCCGAAAUACAAUAUCUCAAGCCGUAGGAAUAUUCUGAGGACAGAAGAAGAACGAGCGACAAAUUUCAUAGAAGAGAAGUGGCACAGUUUACCUUUGGGACUCAAAUUGGGCAAAAUAUGAAUUUUUUAAUUUUGCGAAAUUUUCAAAAAAUAUCUCUAAACGGAACCGUAAGCAGGAGAAAAAUUCUGAGCACACGAAAAGAA
Molecule: long non-coding RNA, 1841 nt
Filed under: Diabrotica virgifera virgifera (western corn rootworm)
Lineage: Eukaryota; Metazoa; Arthropoda; Insecta; Coleoptera; Chrysomelidae
Description: uncharacterized LOC126882769
Source: RNAcentral